RNAcentral lists this non-coding RNA (29 nucleotides) under Mus musculus (house mouse). The record is from RNAcentral. Lineage: Eukaryota; Metazoa; Chordata; Mammalia; Rodentia; Muridae.
UGCCUCAAUGCUCACUGGAGAGCGUGGUU